This 253-nucleotide ribosomal RNA is filed under the name uncultured bacterium. RNAcentral describes it as "partial 16S ribosomal RNA". It matches the Rfam family "Bacterial small subunit ribosomal RNA", at positions 524 to 776 of the family's 1533-position model. The record is from RNAcentral.
UACGUAGGUGGCAAGCGUUGUCCGGAUUUACUGGGCGUAAAGAGCGCGCAGGCGGUCGUACAAGUCGCGUGUGAAAGCCCCCGGCUCAACUGGGGAGGGUCACGCGAUACUGUUCGACUCGAAGGCAGGAGAGGGAAGCGGAAUUCCCGGUGUAGUGGUGAAAUGCGUAGAUAUCGGGAGGAACACCUGUGGCGAAGGCGGCCCCCUGGUCGGAUACUGACGCUGAUACGCGAAAGCGUGGGGAGCAAACAGG